Danio rerio (zebrafish) is the source of this 423-nucleotide non-coding RNA. NCBI's taxonomy places the organism in Eukaryota, Metazoa, Chordata, Actinopteri, Cypriniformes, Danionidae. The record is from RefSeq and is a predicted model, not a curated record.
GUCAGUGCAGGACGACUGAUUGGAUUCAGAUGUUUUUCAAACGGCCCAAUAAGCGCAUGAGGAAACUUAAGCCCCCACUAGCGACUAGUGUCCGACCAGUGGUUUUCAUCUGCUUUAGGAAACCUAGACCUGGAAGUCUGUCCCGAAGUGUCUGAUUUGGGCAUCAGUCAUAGAUAGUGCUAUAGUGUGGUGGGAGGGCUCUUCAGAAAUGCUAGAUGAAACCCCAGUGUGUUGCUGCUGCAACGAAGGCAGGGUGGAGGAUUGCAAUGCUGACUCAGCAUCAUGAUGUCUAUCGGCCAUCAGCGAUGGAUGAUGGCAUCGUCUAUUAACCCAACCCAAGAACUAAGGAUGAUCCUCAAGAUCACUCAAUAACUAAAAUAGUUAAAUCUAUUUUUAAAUGAGCUCUCAACAUUAUUUUUUUUU